ACUCUGAUCCAGCCAUGCCGCGUGCAGGAAGACUGCCCUAUGGGUUGUAAACUGCUUUUAUCCGGGAAUAAACCUCAUUACGUGUAUUGAGCUGAAUGUACCGGAAGAAUAAGGAUCGGCUAACUCCGUGCCAGCAGCCGCGGUAAUACGGAGGAUCCAAGCGUUAUCCGGAUUUAUUGGGUUUAAAGGGUGCGUAGGCGGCCUGUUAAGUCAGGGGUGAAAGACGGUAGCUCAACUAUCGCAGUGCCCUUGAUACUGAUGGGCUUGAAUGGACUAGAGGUAGGCGGAAUGAGACAAGUAGCGGUGAAAUGCAUAGAUAUGUCUCAGAACACCGAUUGCGAAGGCAGCUUACUAUGGUCUUAUUGACGCUGAGGCACGAAAGCGUGGGGAUCAAACAGGAUUAGAUACCCUGGUAGUCCACGCCCUAAACGAUGAACACUCGCUGUUGGCGAUACACAGUCAGCGGCUAAGCGAAAGCGUUAAGUGUUCCACCUGGGGAGUACGCCCGCAAGGGUGAAACUCAAAGGAAUUGACGGGGGCCCGCACAAGCGGAGGAGCAUGUGGUUUAAUUCGAUGAUACGCGAGGAACCUUACCCGGGCUUGAAAGUUAGUGAAUGAUCCAGAGAUGGAUCAGUG
Molecule: ribosomal RNA, 636 nt
Filed under: Pedobacter sp. Ri3Ps_5247
Lineage: Bacteria; Pseudomonadati; Bacteroidota; Sphingobacteriia; Sphingobacteriales; Sphingobacteriaceae
Description: bacterial SSU rRNA
Rfam family: Bacterial small subunit ribosomal RNA
Source: RNAcentral